This 495-nucleotide ribosomal RNA is filed under the name uncultured bacterium. RNAcentral's name for it is "bacterial SSU rRNA". It matches the Rfam family "Bacterial small subunit ribosomal RNA", at positions 15 to 507 of the family's 1533-position model. The record is from RNAcentral.
GAUCCUGGCUCAGAUUGAACGCUGGCGGCAUGCCUUACACAUGCAAGUCGAACGGCAGCACGGGUGCUUGCACCUGGUGGCGAGUGGCGAACGGGUGAGUAAUACAUCGGAACGUACCUUAUCGUGGGGGAUAACGCAGCGAAAGCUGUGCUAAUACCGCAUACGCCCUGAGGGGGAAAGCGGGGGAUCGAAAGACCUCGCGCGAUUAGAGCGGCCGAUGCCUGAUUAGCUUGUUGGUGGGGUAAAAAGCCCACCAAGGCGACGAUCAGUAGCUGGCCUGAGAGGGUGAUCCCCCACACUGGUACUGAGACACGGACCAGACUCCUACGGGAGGCAGCAGUGAGGAAUAUUGGUCAAUGGGUGCAAGCCUGAACCAGCCAUCCCGCGUGAAGGACGACUGCCCUAUGGGUUGUAAACUUCUUUUGUAUAGGGAUAAACCUACCCUCGUGAGGGUAGCUGAAGGUACUAUACGAAUAAGCACCGGCUAACUCCGUG